AUCUUCUUCAUUAGGAUGAAAUCAGCAAGGGGGGAAGCCAUAGUUAGGGUUUUCAAGCUUCCAAGCUCCAUAAUCAAGAAGAAGGAAAUUCGAGGUUAGACAAAGGAAAGAAUAAAGUUGAGGACUAAGUUGGUGAAUUGGGCUAUAUUUGGUACCGAGUAUUGCAAGGCUACUUCAAGGAUCCUAAAAAAGUCGGAGAUCGUCCACACUAUCAAGAACAACUACUCGGUAUUUUAUGAUGAAACAUGUUUGAGUUAUGGCAUGUAUAGGGAUUUAGUUAUUUUGUAUGUUUGUAAUUAUGAUUUUGCUAUAGAAUGAUGUGUAAGUAUUUGAUGAUGAAUGGUUGUUUAAAUGGUCAAGUAUGAAGAUGUUUGUUGUUAUAAAAGUCUAGGUGAUAAAUUAUGUAUGAAAAUCAUGAAAGGGUAAAAUUUUGCUAAGAAACAGAAUUCAGGCAGCAGCAGUGACGUGACUUUGAAAAAUC
Molecule: long non-coding RNA, 481 nt
Organism: Gossypium raimondii (Peruvian cotton)
Lineage: Eukaryota; Viridiplantae; Streptophyta; Magnoliopsida; Malvales; Malvaceae
Exons: 3
Source: RefSeq, a predicted model, not a curated record